UACGGGGGGGGCAAGCGUUGUUCGGAAUUACUGGGCGUAAAGGGCGCGUAGGCGGCCUUCUAAGUCGGACGUGAAAUCCCUCGGCUUAACCGAGGAACUGCGUCCGAUACUGAAAGGCUUGAAUCCGGGAGAGGGAUGUGGAAUUCCAGGUGUAGCGGUGAAAUGCGUAGAUAUCUGGAGGAACACCGGUGGCGAAGGCGGCAUCCUGGACCGGCAUUGACGCUGAGUGAGCGAAAGCCAGGGGAGCAAACGGG
RNAcentral lists this ribosomal RNA (254 nucleotides) under uncultured bacterium. RNAcentral describes it as "partial 16S ribosomal RNA". It matches the Rfam family "Bacterial small subunit ribosomal RNA", at positions 524 to 776 of the family's 1533-position model. The record is from RNAcentral.